AGAAUUUAAUUUAAUAAAAAUAUUGGCUUUGGAAGUUAAACAUGGGGUAAUCCUUUUUCUG
RNAcentral lists this transfer RNA (61 nucleotides) under Folsomotoma octooculata. RNAcentral describes it as "tRNA-Pro". Lineage: Eukaryota; Metazoa; Arthropoda; Collembola; Entomobryomorpha; Isotomidae. The record is from RNAcentral.